UACGUAGGGUGCGAGCGUUGUCCGGAAUUACUGGGCGUAAAGAGCUCGUAGGUGGUUUGUCGCGUUGUUCGUGAAAACCGGGGGCUUAACCCUCGGCGUGCGGGCGAUACGGGCAGACUUGAGUACUGCAGGGGAGACUGGAAUUCCUGGUGUAGCGGUGGAAUGCGCAGAUAUCAGGAGGAACACCGGUGGCGAAGGCGGGUCUCUGGGCAGUAACUGACGCUGAGGCGCGAAAGCCAGGGGAGCAAACGGG
Molecule: ribosomal RNA, 253 nt
Filed under: uncultured bacterium
Lineage: Bacteria
Description: partial 16S ribosomal RNA
Rfam family: Bacterial small subunit ribosomal RNA
Source: RNAcentral